Equus caballus (horse) is the source of this 2668-nucleotide long non-coding RNA. RefSeq lists it as uncharacterized. Lineage: Eukaryota; Metazoa; Chordata; Mammalia; Perissodactyla; Equidae. The record is from RefSeq and is a predicted model, not a curated record.
AUUUUACCUGUAAUUUUAGCAGGGGAGUUUGUAUCCGCUCAUUUCAUACCUAAAAAUGAUUAGAAGAAAACGGAACACGCUCCUGUGGUUAGCAGAAUAACGUUCCCCCACCCCUAAUGAUGUCCGUGUCCUGUUUCCCGAAACUGUGGAUAUGUUAGGUUGUGUGGCAAAAACAAGUGGUUGCUAAUCAGCUGACUUGGAGAUGGGGAGAUUAUCUGGAUUAUCUGGGUGGGUCCACUGUAAUCACAAGGGCCCUUAAAAAUAGAAAAGGGAGGGAGGAGAGAGAGCCUAAGAGAUAACAGCUUGAGAAGGACUCCACAUUGCUGAGAAAUGAAGCCACAAGCCAAUGAAUGUGAGUGUCCUCUAGAAGCUGGAAAAAACAAGAAACUGAGAUAGAAAGAGCACAGCUCUGCUGACACCUUGAUUUUAGCUCAGUGAGACCCGAGUCAGACCUCUAACCUCUAGAACUGGACAAUAAUAAAUGUGUGUUGUUUUAAGCCACUAAAUUUGUGGUAAUUUUUUUACAGCAGGAAUAGGAAACUAAUAUAACACCCAUGACCAAGUUCUCAAAAUUUUUUUUCCUUUAAAAUGCAAGAAAAAAAAACUAGAACUUAAAAUCUGACAGCCUGUCACUUCUCCUUUUUAUUAUUGCAAGGCCCUGCAAGCCAUCUCUAAUAUUUUACUGUUUUUCUCUUGGAAGAUUCUGUAUCUAAGAUAACCAGGCUUAUUUAUUGGGCCAAGUUUUGAACAUAGUAUGAUGAGAUUGUUGUAAGAUCCAGGAUCCAUAUUUUUAAAACCUCCCUUGGUGUCUCCAGGUUUGCAAAUCACUGGUCUAAAAUUUAAAUUCUAGACCACAUAAUUAUGAGUGGCUGCAUGCCUGGAGAAUGAGCACAGUGGAUUAUUAUUAACCUAGGAGGACAUAACAAAUGUGGGGUCCACAGAGACUGGGCCUGGUGAUGUAACAUUUCAUCAGCGACCUGAAUAAUGGAAUGGUGAGCAUGCUCAUUAGCUACGAAUGUGGUACCAAAAUGGAAAACAGGCGGAGGAGGGCAUUUUAAUUAACUAAUGAGGGUUGUUAGGGUGGGGAGAAUAUUGAUUCAAAGGACAGGUGACAGCAGGGUGAGGAAGUGCCGGAGGAGUUGCUGGGAACUGAAUGAAGUUCAGUGGCAGUGAGGGCAAACGCAGAAUAACGCAUGUUCUGUAGAAGGGAAGGAAACAGCACAAUAACAGGCGGGGCGGGGGAAGACUGCAAAAUCAGAGAAAGAUCCUGAGGUAAGUCUGAUCACGGAGUUGGGCGGGCGCUGGGGGGUGGUGCAGGAAGGCCACUUGGCCUGGGCCUCACAUUCACAUGGGCCCUGAAAUUUAGAAUUCUGGCAUCAUUUUGGCAUCUGAUAAAGGUGUUCAUUUGCUCGUGUAAACCUGUAAAGCUCACCACGGUUUUGUAAUCCCAUUUUUGCAACUUUUCCUUUUUUAAUGCACUGGGAGCCUCAAAAACGGAACGUGGCCUGGAUGUCUCAGUUCGAGAGUCCUGACUGGAGAUCACGGUGGAACACAAGAUUUAAUGGGUACUGCAGUUGGUGAAGCAAGCAUCACUGUGCAGCCACAGGGUAUUUGUGGGAGGAUUCACAACGAGCAGCGAGGGCCUCUAGCAAGCAAGGCUGGGAGAAUUCGAAUCCAGGGAGGAAAGGAGAUUUACUUUGUUCCUGAAGAAACUAUUAAUAGGACAACAAGAAUGAAAGCUCCAAUAGAGCAGUGGACAGUGGUGGGACAGCUGAUCCGCGUGCACAGAGCAGCAACCGAGCAAGGCUUUCAGGACAAGGGUUAAUAUUUGACAGAAUGAAACUUCCCGAUAAUUUGACAAGGGAUGCCUAACCAGGAAGCUGAAGAGACAGCUGCACCCUUCUCUGCAAAGAGGAUCUUCUGAGCAAGCCCAGGCAAGAGCCCUCUGUUCUUGAUGACUAUCUGUUAUUUCCACUUGGGAGCCCAAAUUAAAGUUGCUUAUUUGCCUUAGAAGCAAAGUUCGGCCAGAGGCAGCCUGGGGUGCCCAGGUUGUCCGAGAAGAGCCAUUUGAGGGAAAUUGCAUUUCUGGAAUUGAAACCAAGGGAGGUGGAACUGCAGUCGACACAAGGCAAGGACUGAGAAGGAGGCCGGGAUGACAAUCCAGAACAAACCAGCCACAGCACUCCCACUUGGAGAAUAAUCAGUUUCCCCAGUGGUGUUAUAAAACCGGUUGCAAAAAACCAGUUCCUCUUGCUUUAGGUGGCAAGGAUCUUCCGAGUGCUGGUUACCCUCUCACAGCUUUUCAACCUGCUGCCAAAGAAAUUUCCAUCUGUAGUUAUUAAUCCACUGGUAUUGAGGAAAGUUCCUGAACUUUGAAAGCUUGUUUGGGCUGGUAUGAAAGAAAAUAAGCACUUUCCACCACAGCAGAGCCAAACUGUGCUUUCUAGAGGCUGUGGAAAAUUGUUUUCAUUAAACGCAAAUCAUUGCCCCCCAAACCAAUGUUCUUGGGGAUGAAAUUGUCUUUGGCUCCAUUAACUCUGAGAGGCUACAUUAGCCAGUUCUCUAACGGCACUCUGCUAUGGAAGGUUCUAGAAAAUGAAUAGAAAGUGAAUCACUUUCCACUCGCACCCCCAGUACCAACCCCUCACCCCAGCAGCAGCUUACCCCU